AUGAAGCUUGAAAAAUUCUGCUUGUGCUCCUCUAGUAGCCCUUUAGUCAUCUGGAUAAAUCUGAACUUGCUUGGAUUCCUAAAUCGACAGCAUAAUGAACUGUCGUCUUCGGAAUCACGUAAGCCGGAAGCAAUUUCGGAGAACAAAAGAUGUGUCAAUUCAGACUCUGUUGUGCUUAUCCACAGGGCAAGCACUCCCAUUUCUAAGAUUCAGUUUGUCAUGAUCUCCACACCGACAAUAGCAACACAUGCUAUUUUAUCCUUGUACAACAACUCAGGACUCAUCUGCACUGUGGUGAGUCAGUCAAUGAGUGCAGCUGAGACUAGAAACAAGAGAUCCUUUUCAGUUUUAUGCAUCAAAUCAUCUCACCAAGUACAGAAAUCAAAUCAUCUCACCAAGUACAGAAGAACACAUGCACUUGCUUACAUGACUUGGCUUGUUCUCUGGAUGCAUGCAGGUGAGAGAUAG
RNAcentral lists this ribosomal RNA (468 nucleotides) under Triticum aestivum (bread wheat). RNAcentral describes it as "partial small subunit ribosomal RNA". The record is from RNAcentral. Lineage: Eukaryota; Viridiplantae; Streptophyta; Magnoliopsida; Poales; Poaceae.